Molecule: ribosomal RNA, 254 nt
Filed under: uncultured bacterium
Lineage: Bacteria
Description: partial 16S ribosomal RNA
Rfam family: Bacterial small subunit ribosomal RNA
Source: RNAcentral
UACGUAGGUGGCAAGCGUUGUCCGGAUUUACUGGGCGUAAAGAGCGCGCAGGCGGUCGUUCAAGUCGCGUGUGAAAGCCCCCGGCUCAACUGGGGAGGGUCACGCGAUACUGAUCGACUCGAAGGCAGGAGAGGGAAGUGGAAUUCCCGGUGUAGUGGGUGAAAUGCGUAGAUAUCGGGAGGAACACCAGUGGCGAAGGCGACUUCCUGGCCUGUUCUUGACGCUGAGGCGCGAAAGCUAGGGGAGCAAACGGG